This 253-nucleotide ribosomal RNA is filed under the name uncultured prokaryote. RNAcentral's name for it is "partial 16S ribosomal RNA". It matches the Rfam family "Bacterial small subunit ribosomal RNA", at positions 524 to 776 of the family's 1533-position model. The record is from RNAcentral.
UACGGGGGGGGCAAGCGUUGUUCGGAAUUACUGGGCGUAAAGGGCGCGUAGGCGGUUCGCUAAGUUGAAUGUGAAAACUCUGGGCUUAACCCAGAGCCUGCAUUCAAUACUGGCGGGCUAGAGUUCUGGAGGGGAUAGCGGAAUUCCUGGUGUAGCGGUGAAAUGCGUAGAUAUCAGGAGGAACACCGGUGGCGAAGGCGGCUAUCUGGACAGUUCCUGACGCUGAGGCACGAAGGUCAGGGGAGCAAACGGG